Molecule: long non-coding RNA, 2776 nt
Filed under: Homo sapiens (human)
Lineage: Eukaryota; Metazoa; Chordata; Mammalia; Primates; Hominidae
Description: HSALNT0361099
Source: RNAcentral
GUCAGGGUCAGUGGUGUCUUCCCUCCACUCCAUCUUAGCCCCCAGGGAUGGACAUCCAGGGGAAGCAGCCCCACUUCCUGUGUCUACUCCUCAUGGACAUUGUGGGAGCUCCAUUUUCUUCAACAGAAGAUAUGAAUCAAGCAAUCUGAGGGCCUAGAUGGGGAGAAAAGGGCCCUGAAACAGGGAGAGAUGAAUGUAGCCACCAGCUCUCUGUUUUUUUCUUUAGAGGGGCAGGGAGUCAUUCAACCUAAGAAUUUUUCCUUGCUGUCUUGCAUAUCCCAACAGGCCUCCCUUCAUUCUUACAGUGUGACUGACCUAAAUUGAAAAUAUGAAGAGGACCCAUGGGCUAAAAGUUGGUUGCCUCCACCCUUUGACUAUUGUGAACAGUGCUGCUAUGAACAUGAGUGUGCAAAUAUACUUUCAAGAUCCUGGUUUCAAUUCUUUUGAGAUUACCCAGAAGUAGAAUCAGUGGAACAUACGGAAGAAGAUUAUGGGCAAGUACUGCAAGAACUGGCAACAGUCUCAUAUUAUGUGGACAACUCUACAAUGCAUGUUUGUUUGGGCUCUCCCUUUUCGCUGCUCCAAACUCCCUGUCCCUGACUUUUGCUUACUGGGUCCAGUCCCCAGUAGAGUAGCUGCUCUUAGGCUUUUGUCUUAGGAGAACUCAGGGGAACACGUGGCCUAUGCUCUGGCAAUAAAAUCUUCUUGCAUUGUCAGAAGUCACCUCACUAUUUGAUGUCUCCGUAUACUCCCUCUGCUUUAAUCUCACUUACUUCCCCCAAACCUCAAUCUGGCCCCUGUUUAAAUGUCACCUGUUCAUGAAGCUUUCCUUCAUCUCCACAACAAAGCUGGUUUCUCCCUUCUCUGUGGCUGCUGUACCUUGUUUAUUCCUCCAUGGGCGCACUGAGGGCUCUCAAUACAUUUGGUUUUAUAUCUGAUACUCAUUGUAAUAUCCACUAUUUUUUUUUUGUUUCUUUUAUAUUUUAGGUCCUCAAACAUUGCCAAACAUUGUCAAUCAUUCUUGAAGGUUUAACAUUAAAUGAUAUUAAGAAACGGACACUGGGCAAUAACUUUAGCACCAGCUGGGAGAAUUGGUGAUGAUUAUAGUCGGAAAGAAUCCCAAAUAUGUGAUGCUGAAGAGAUGCAGAAACAUUGAAAGCAAAUGAUCCUGUGCCUGUGACUGAACCCUCCUUGAUCUCCGAAGGGCAAGUGUUACACUGUUGCCCGUGUUUCAUCUGGAAAAAACAGAAGUACACAGAAGAAUGUGAUUUGUCCAAAGUCACCUCCUGUCAGGGAAGUCUUUUCCCAGUAUCAGUCAUCACUUUGCUGGGCCGGUCCAUGCCAGUCCAUGCUGGUCCAUGCCUGCCUGGUCAGGCUACAAUCUUCAUUCACAAAGAGUACACUGGGAAGUCAGAGAGACCUGGGUUCAAGUCUGAAGUAUUGAGUGACUCAGAAAAUUAUAUAACUCCCAGCUGUGCCUCAGUUUCCUAGUCUGAACAGUGGCCAUCAACACAGAUGUUUGUUUUUUUUUUUAAUUUAAUUUUUUUAUAUAUGUUUUUUUGAGACGGAGUCUCGCUCUGUCGCCAGGCUGGAGUGCAGCGGAACGAUCUCUGCUCACUGCAACCUCUGCCUCCUGGGUUCAAGUGAUUCUCCUGCCUCAGCCUCCUGAGUAGCUGGGACUACAGGCACACGUCACCACACCUGGCUAAUUUUUGUAUUUUUAGUAGAGACGGGGUUUCACCGUGUUAGCCAGGAUGGUCUCAAUCUCUUGACCUCAUGAUCUGCCCGCCUGGGCCUCCCAAAGUGCUGGGAUUAUAGGUGUGAGCCACUGCUCCCGGCCCCAGAUGCUUGUUUUGAGGAUUAUGUAAGUAAGGUAUUAUUUUAUUGGAGGAUGAACAGUAAGCCCUCAGUAUGCGGUAAUAUUAAAUGCAAUAGAAAUACAUGAAUCCAAGAUUUCUCAAACCUUUACCACCCUCCACUCCCCACAACCAGGUGGAACAGAUGCUCUGUGUCUAAUGUCAUACCGCCUUGGCCCACUUCUGACUUUCACGGGGACUGUGAGAGACAUUUUAAUUCAUUCUGAGUAUUUCUCCCACUUUAAAUUGGUGCCAUUUCUCCACGUUUUUCUGCUUUUGUGCUUUCUUCAAAGCCAUAGAAGUAGGCAAAGCCCAGCGGGCAACCUUGGGUCAAAUGAGGAAGACAGUCGACUGCAAAUGCCCUAGUCCAGCCUUCGGAUAGAAAUUCUCCAAGUCUUUCUGAACAGAGUCCUAGCAGAGUUGAGUGCUCAUUGUCCACAGCAGCAACCUUGCCCUGGCCUAUGCACAUUGAUUAACUGCAUGACUUUGGAAGCCACUUUACUGCCUCUGAACAAUGAAGCACAGUUGAAUGCUCACAGAUCUAUAUGCUAGCAGAAUCUGUCAUCAGUACACAUCAAGUAUCUGUGGUUCCCUCCUCCUAAGAGAGAGCCUACAGUAUAGAGUCUCCCUCAUGGUUUAUCUACCCAAGUCCUGCACCCAAGACUUGUUUAGUGAAGCUACAGAGGGAACAUAUAGGCCCAAUGAUUGUAUUCAGAUCUCAGCUGCUCACUGGAUCUGCUCAAAAGUACAGUGGGAAUACCCUACCUUGAAAUAAGAUGCAUUCAGCAUCCUUACUAACGUGUGAACCAUUCCAGUCAGGAUUCCUGCACUGGUGAGAAAGAAGACUAGGAAAUCACUCACAUCUCCAAUUCUGAUUUAUAGGAUUCUAUAAAUGUAAAAUCAAUAGGCAUAACACUCAG